UUUCAUAACGCCACGAAUCUCAGACGCGAUGUCUUAUAACUGGGAGCAAGUGAAGCGAAGAUCUAACAGUAGCUAGUGCAAGAUUGGUGAGGGAUAGGAGGAUGAUGAGGAGGACGACGAGGAGGCGCUGGCCCCGAGCAAUUCCGGUAAGAAAAAGCUUUGCGGCUGUGUAAUUGGCUGUGUAGCCCAACUGGGUGUAUUGCUUGGUGAGCUUGUCUAAGUUCAUCAGAUCCAGGUACAAGCAAGCGACGCAAUCCCAUGGCUUCGAAGAAAAGACGCCUCAGAAUGUGUUUGGAUCCAGAAUGUGAGAAGUUUCAUGCAUACACUCACUCUCUAACACUCACACACACACAUCGUGGGCGUUGGUUGCAGUGGUCGUCACCGAGUGGAAAACUGAUUUCACGUACACCAGGCUCCCAAUGAGUCUCUCUCUCUAUAUAUAUAUGUAUAUACAUAUAUUCAAAAUACAUGAAAAGAAGGUAACCAUUAUAUAGAAUGAGUAUAUAUGUGUAUAUAUAUAUAUAUAUAUAUAUAUAUAUAGAAAAUAAGGAUAGGAAUAAAGUGAUGGGGAUAUGUUAUAUAGAUGAACAAUCCCUUGACUCAUGAACUUUGAGUGAAGUUUUCAUGAAUAUGAAAUCCCAGGCACACUGUGUGGAGUUUUCAUGUGUA
This 669-nucleotide long non-coding RNA is filed under the name Physcomitrium patens. Its description in RNAcentral is "long non-coding RNA (PPAT_LNC009577)". The record is from RNAcentral. Lineage: Eukaryota; Viridiplantae; Streptophyta; Bryopsida; Funariales; Funariaceae.